GGGAAGCUAUCGGAUACUGGGCGUAAGCGCACGCAGGCGGUCUGUCAAGUCGGAUGUGAAAUCCCCGGGCUCAACCUGGGAACUGCAUUCGAAACUGGCAGGCUAGAGUCUUGUAGAGGGGGGUAGAAUUCCAGGUGUAGCGGUGAAAUGCGUAGAGAUCUGGAGGAAUACCGGUGGCGAAGGCGGCCCCCUGGACAAAGACUGACGCUCAGGUGCGAAAGCGUGGGGAGCAAACAGGAUUAGAUACCCUGGUAGUCCACGCUGUAAACGAUGUCGAUUUGGAGGUUGUGCCCUUGAGGCGUGGCUUCCGGAGCUAACGCGUUAAAUCGACCGCCUGGGGAGUACGGCCGCAAGGUUAAAACUCAAAUGAAUUGACGG
Molecule: ribosomal RNA, 378 nt
Filed under: Klebsiella variicola
Lineage: Bacteria; Pseudomonadati; Pseudomonadota; Gammaproteobacteria; Enterobacterales; Enterobacteriaceae
Description: bacterial SSU rRNA
Rfam family: Bacterial small subunit ribosomal RNA
Source: RNAcentral